GACGAACACUGGCGGCGUGCUUAACACAUGCAAGUCGAACGGAAAGGCCCUGCUUUUGUGGGGUGCUCGAGUGGCGAACGGGUGAGUAACACGUGAGUAACCUGCCCUUGACUUUGGGAUAACUUCAGGAAACUGGGGCUAAUACCGGAUAGGAGCUCCUGCUGCAUGGUGGGGGUUGGAAAGUUUCGGCGGUUGGGGAUGGACUCGCGGCUUAUCAGCUUGUUGGUGGGGUAGUGGCUUACCAAGGCUUUGACGGGUAGCAGGCCUGAGAGGGUGACCGGCCACAUUGGGACUGAGAUACGGCCCAGACUCCUACGGGAGGCAGCAGUGGGGAAUAUUGCACAAUGGGCGGAAGCCUGAUGCAGCAACGCCGCGUGCGGGAUGACGGCCUUCGGGUUGUAAACCGCUUUCGCCUGUGACGAAGCGUGAGUGACGGUAAUGGGUAAAGAAGCACCGGCUAACUACGUGCCAGCAGCCGCGGUGAUACGUAGGGUGCGAGCGUUGUCCGGAUUUAUUGGGCGUAAAGGGCUCGUAGGUGGUUGAUCGCGUCGGAAGUGUAAUCUUGGGGCUUAACCCUGAGCGUGCUUUCGAUACGGGUUGACUUGAGGAAGGUAGGGGAGAAUGGAAUUCCUGGUGGAGCGGUGGAAUGCGCAGAUAUCAGGAGGAACACCAGUGGCGAAGGCGGUUCUCUGGGCCUUUCCUGACGCUGAGGAGCGAAAGCGUGGGGAGCGAACAGGCUUAGAUACCCUGGUAGUCCACGCUGUAAACGGUGGGUACUAGGUGUGGGGUCCAUUCCACGGGUUCCGUGCCGUAGCUAACGCUUUAAGUACCCCGCCUGGGGAGUACGGCCGCAAGGCUAAAACUCAAAGGAAUUGACGGGGCCCCGCACAAGCGGCGGAGCAUGCGGAUUAAUUCGAUGCAACGCGUAGAACCUUACCUGGGUUUGACAUGGAUCGGGAGCGCUCAGAGAUGGGUGUGCCUCUUUUGGGGUCGGUUCACAGGUGGUGCAUGGCUGUCGUCAGCUCGUGUCGUGAGAUGUUGGGUUAAGUCCCGCAACGAGCGCAACCCUUGUUCACUGUUGCCAGCACGUUAUGGUGGGGACUCAGUGGAGACCGCCGGGGUCAACUCGGAGGAAGGUGGGGAUGACGUCAAGUCAUCAUGCCCCUUAUGUCCAGGGCUUCACGCAUGCUACAAUGGCUGGUACAGAGAGUGGCGAGCCUGUGAGGGUGAGCGAAUCUCGGAAAGCCGGUCUCAGUUCGGAUUGGGGUCUGCAACUCGACCUCAUGAAGUCGGAGUCGCUAGUAAUCGCAGAUCAGCAACGCUGCGGUGAAUACGUUCCCGGG
This 1343-nucleotide ribosomal RNA is filed under the name uncultured bacterium. Its description in RNAcentral is "16S ribosomal RNA". It matches the Rfam family "Bacterial small subunit ribosomal RNA", at positions 28 to 1378 of the family's 1533-position model. The record is from RNAcentral.